GGAUUAGAUACCCUGGUAGUCCACGCAGUAAACGAUGAGUGCUAGAUAUUAAAAUGCAAAUUUUGGUGUCGAAGCUAACGCGUUAAGCACUCCGCCUGGGGAGUACGACCGCAAGGUUAAAACUCAAAGGAAUUGACGGGGACCCGCACAAGCGGUGGAACAUGUGGUUUAAUUCGAUACUACGCGAAAAACCUUACCAAGUCUUGACAUGAUAGUCGUAUGGUUGAGAAAUCAUCUAGUCACUUUGGGUGGACUAUCACAGGUGUUGCAUGGCCGUCGUCAGCUCGUGCUG
This 292-nucleotide ribosomal RNA is filed under the name uncultured bacterium. RNAcentral's name for it is "partial 16S ribosomal RNA". It matches the Rfam family "Bacterial small subunit ribosomal RNA", at positions 775 to 1067 of the family's 1533-position model. The record is from RNAcentral.